CCUACGGGUGGCAGCAGUGGGGAAUAUUGGACAAUGGGGGGAACCCUGAUCCAGCCAUGCCGCGUGUGUGAAGAAGGCCCUCGGGUUGUAAAGCACUUUCAGUGAGGAAGAACGCCUGGUGGUUAAUACCCAUCAGGAAAGACAUCACUCACAGAAGAAGCACCGGCUAACUCCGUGCCAGCAGCCGCGGUAAUACGGAGGGUGCGAGCGUUAAUCGGAAUUACUGGGCGUAAAGCGCGCGUAGGUGGCUUGAUAAGCCGGUUGUGAAAGCCCCGGGCUCAACCUGGGAACGGCAUCCGGAACUGUCAAGCUAGAGUGCAGGCGAGGAAGGUAGAAUUCCCGGUGUAGCGGUGAAAUGCGUAGAGAUCGGGAGGAAUACCAGUGGCGAAGGCGGCCUUCUGGACUGACACUGACACUGAGGUGCGAAAGCGUGGGUAGCAAACAGGAUUAGAUACCCUAGUAGUA
This 465-nucleotide ribosomal RNA is filed under the name Vreelandella stevensii. RNAcentral describes it as "partial 16S ribosomal RNA". It matches the Rfam family "Bacterial small subunit ribosomal RNA", at positions 338 to 795 of the family's 1533-position model. The record is from RNAcentral. Lineage: Bacteria; Pseudomonadati; Pseudomonadota; Gammaproteobacteria; Oceanospirillales; Halomonadaceae.